ACACCUAUAGCUCAGGGGAUAGAGCACCGCCCUCCGGAGGCGGGUGCGGCGGUUCGAAUCCGCCUAGGUGUG
This is a non-coding RNA of Ruminococcus sp. DSM 100440, 72 nucleotides long. The record is from Rfam. Lineage: Bacteria; Bacillati; Bacillota; Clostridia; Eubacteriales; Oscillospiraceae.